GAUGAAGAACGUAGCGAAAUGCGAUAAGUAUGUGAAUUGCAGAAUUCAGUGAAUCAUCGAAUCUUUGAACGCACAUUGCGCCCGCCAGUAUUCUGGCGGGCAUGCCUGUUCGAGCGUCAUUACAACCCUCAGGCCCCCGGGCCUGGCGUUGGGGAUCGGCAGAAGCCCCCUGUGGGCACACGCCGUCCCUCAAAUACAGUGGCGGUCCCGCCGCAGCUUCCAUUGCGUAGUAGCUAACACCUCGCAACUGGAGAGCGGCGCGGCCAUGCCGUAAAACACCCAACUUCUGAAUGUUGACCUCGAAUCAGGUAGGAAUACCCGCUGAACUUAAGCAUAUCAAUAAGCGGAGGA
Molecule: unclassified non-coding RNA, 351 nt
Filed under: soil metagenome
Description: partial contains 5.8S ribosomal RNA, internal transcribed spacer 2, and large subunit ribosomal RNA
Rfam family: 5.8S ribosomal RNA (bases 1-119)
Source: RNAcentral